This 266-nucleotide long non-coding RNA is filed under the name Brachypodium distachyon (stiff brome). RNAcentral describes it as "long non-coding RNA (BDIS_LNC002508)". Lineage: Eukaryota; Viridiplantae; Streptophyta; Magnoliopsida; Poales; Poaceae. The record is from RNAcentral.
GCAUGGUAGCUCUUGGGUUGGGUGUAUAGCAUGGUGGUUUCAAUUUUUUUUUCUGGUUGCAACUUGUUGGUGAUAGGUCUAUUUCUGUCCCUUGUUGUGGUGGAGCUUACCAAUUCUUAGUUUGAUUUUAGGGUUGCGUUAUGGGGACGGUUUUUCGUGUUUUCGGUACUGUCUAGGGUGUAUUCUUUCGCCUUCAAACGGAUUCCUACCUUGCAGGUCCAUUCCCAUCACCUGCAUCACAUACAUUAAGUUUUGGAAGAUGGCAA